Molecule: ribosomal RNA, 354 nt
Filed under: uncultured bacterium
Lineage: Bacteria
Description: bacterial SSU rRNA
Rfam family: Bacterial small subunit ribosomal RNA
Source: RNAcentral
AACGAACGCUGGCGGCAGGCCUAACACAUGCAAGUCGAACGCUCCGCAAGGGGAGUGGCGCACGGGUGAGUAACACGUGGGAACCUACCUUCUGGUACGGAACAACCAAGGGAAACUCUGGCUGAUACCGUAUACGACCUCCGGGUGAAAGAUUGAUCGCCGGAAGAGGGGCCCGCGUCCGAUUAGGUAGUUGGUGAGGUAACGGCUCACCAAGCCUGCGAUCGGUAGCUGGUCUGAGAGGANGACCAGCCACACUGGGACUGAGACACGGCCCAGACUCCUACGGGAGGCAGCAGUGGGGAAUAUUGGACAAUGGGCGCAAGCCUGAUCCAGCCAUGCCGCGUGAGUGAUGAA